Molecule: long non-coding RNA, 29382 nt
Filed under: Triticum aestivum (bread wheat)
Lineage: Eukaryota; Viridiplantae; Streptophyta; Magnoliopsida; Poales; Poaceae
Description: long non-coding RNA (TAES_LNC017217)
Source: RNAcentral
GCCAAUCCGGCUGGCACCAAGCGACCAACCAAAUUUUGGGCAAGUCGACCGGCGCCUAGCGCCGCCCUUGGAAAUGUCAUUGUAUCGAUGCUAACGUAUUUUUCAAUGUACUGGAUGCACUCAUGGAACAUGUAUGUCAAUCCUUCCUUUUAUUCAAUCACCCAACAACAACCUAAUGCACGACUCAACAGCACAUGUAAGAAGAAAGUAUACUUGGCCGCAACGUGAACAAGCACACUUAUGGUUUACAUAUUGAGGUUACAAAUUAACCUGCCACAACAUAAACUAACGUACAAGACAGAAACACAAUUAACUUCAUCAUUGCCAGACAACAUGGAUCAGAAUGAAAAAAAAUAAAAUAUAGUAAAAAGAACAUGGAUCAGAACGCGGCUGCUCUCACCACUUUUGAGGCUAUUUCUUAGUAUUUCUUAGGCUGCGGCUGCUUCUUCUUAGCUAUCCUCUGUUUUUGCGAGUCAGCUUCAGAUCUUUCCUACGAUUACGCGACUUUUUAGGUUUCUUUGGUUGUGCUUUGGCUUAUUGGGUGGCGGCGGCGUUCGCUUGUUAUGGGGAACCGUUGUACCUGGAACCUUUGUACCUGUCUUCUCCAUGACGCCUCCUCCUCCUACUCCUCCUCUCCCUCCUCCUCCUCCUCUCCUUCUUCUUCUUCUUCUUCUUCUUGUGCGAGGUAGAUGAGGUGAGGUGGAUGUGGUGUUUGUUUUGCACCGGUUGGUUUGUGGUGUUCUGCAGCAACGGCGCGUGCAUAUAUAUAGGAGGGAUAAGGAAUUGGGAAAGCGCUCUGGCCGGACAACGUGGUUUCAUCAAAGGAAAAUGGUUUGGUGGCGUCCCCAGUGCUGCUGUUAGUCAGUCUCUUUUGUGUCGUUUUGGGGAGUAGAUAUGUAUAUUCGAUUCAUUUGUUCUUGGCGGAUAGGUAUGCAGUUGAGACAGUGGUCUUCGUUUCCUCUUCUCAUCCUCCUUAUACUAUAGCUACAUCAGAAUAAGUGUUGGUGGUCAUAUUUUGCUAGCAUAUUCCACACGGCUUGUUACUUGUUAGACCAUCUUCAACGGCGACCGCAGAUUACCUCCAACAUCCAUCCAUGGACAAAGAGGAUCAGUCGUCCGUGGACAGAGAUAUGGGAGCCGGCUAUCCAACACUUCCCGCAUACAUUUCAAACACUUUUUCAACAACCCGGAUGUACCUCAUGCAAACACAUCAGAUUUCAUACAAACCUAGCGAAAACAUUUAUAUUUUUGACAUAUUUUAACUGAAAAACGCAUGUACGACCACACAGAGGUCCACUACCAUGACACAGAUACAUUACACUAGUCUACGGCCGGCCGCGGAGAAUCCCUUUGUCUUCCCCUUGUCAGGCAGUCCGGUGACUCAUCGGACUGCCGGGUGCCAAGGAGGUAUAUUCCUCCCCCGUAUCUUCCCUAUGUCUGGCUGCGCCGCUUAUCGGAGUGGCAAAGAGGGUGCUUCAGUCGGAGGGGAAAUGGGAAAUCCUCUACCGUGAAGCGUGGAUCAGGGUUGGUUUUUGGGGCAGGGGAAGAUGGUGGCCCGUGAGACAGGGCGAGACAUUUGUUGUGCAUGCAGCGACGUAGCGGCGGUGGCCUUCCAAGGACCCAAGUCGGCGGGCUCUCAUGUUCUACUUUUCCUCGAUGUUAUUGGCGGACGCGGCCGUGCUGGCCGCCGCCUUGCCGAUCUCCAAGCUGGCUUCUUUUUCCAUCGACAAGGCGCGGUCCUGCGAACGAUGAUGUCAGAUGGCUCGUAUCUGGAGGGUUCGGCAGGCCACCCAGCCAGAUUUUAUACCGGGCUCUUCCUACACGCCGAAUGUCAUGAAAAGAGUGAAGAAAAUAGUGGAAGGAGGAGAUGGGGAGCGGAGGAGAGGUGCGAUUGUUGCCCGGCGUCUGGCCUCCUUUAAAUAGCGAGCAGGUGCGAGGAAAUUUCCCGUUGUUGUGUUUAAUGCUGACCGGAUCAUGAACAUAUGUUUGGCUGGAGUAGCUUUCUCGGCACACACGCGGAUUUAAUGGAGGCGUGUUCAGUCGGGCGUGCAGCGGGCGACGCCAUCGGCCAGCGUGCCACUUUAAUGCCAAAGCCAGUGAGACGUCGCGCUCGCUCUGGGAUAGCUUCAAUGUGGGAGCAAACGCUCAACGACAACAUGAAUGAGGACAGCUGACGCCGGGCAGGAACGCGUGCCGGUGAGGGUGUGGAUUGGCAUCGGUGGGCUAGGGUUUCCAAAAGUGGGCGUGGGAGCAGUCCAGACGCCUGCAAAGCCCCCAUGCUUGUCUUCGGUUUGUGAGAGAAAGUGCGUCUCAAGACUGAACGGACCGAUACAGUUGCAUGGCAAAACACGUCCCCUCCGCCUGGUCCAGACGUAUGUGGAUUUAAGGGUCGUCGUUGGAGAUGCCCUUACUCAUGAGCGAUUUUGACAUGGUUCUUCUUACCUCCUCUUUGACAUGGUAGGUAAGAAGGUAAGAGUUACUGACCAACUACUUAAUUAAGGGCUCAUAUCUAUUACAUACGUUUUCCCUUCAUACGAAAAGAGGAGGUUAGAGAAAUCAUGUGCACCUACGCCAUGCAUGAUUUAUGGCGUAAGUAUACACGUAGCUGCCGUUGUAUAAGAUGUUCAGGUAGAGCUUGAGUUUGGAUUAACUAAACCCAUUGUAAUAGAUCUUAGCUCAUUAAUUAAUGACUUGAUUAACUCUCACACUACUAGAAAAAGGGCUGUUAGUGGCGCACCUGUUUUUGCUAUUUGUAGUGCGCCACUAUUAACACGCCACUAGUAACAAAUAGUAAUGGCGCACCUCUUGUGCGCCACUAGUAUCCCAGAUAAUAGUGGCGCAUCAUACAGUGCGCCAUUACUAUGUCCACCAGUGCGCCAUUACUAUGCCUCCCAGGGGGCCAUAUUUACCUUGUGCUCUGAGUUACUAAUGGCGCACUUUCAGAUAAUGCGCCACUGAUGUGUUUAUUUCAGUGCGCCACUAAAGUGCAAUAUGGUGCGCCACUACAAUGAAUAUUAGGAAUUAUCUUUUUUUUUUCUUAUCUGAUAUUUGCACAGGUUACAAAAUACAUUACUGCACAGAAUAUAAACAGCACAACAUAUAAACAACAGAUUUAUUGAGUACAAUAGAAGAUUAGUCUCCGAAUACAAUUCAUCAUAUUAGCCUCCGAAUUCAAAAUACCGAACAAAGUUAUAACAUUACAAGCCUCGAGACCGCGAGUAGCGAGUUUGUCUUCACAUUACAAGUCGAUAUCGAUCAUCUAAACUACCCAUCACAUAGAAGAGAGCUGCGGUCAUCGCGAUGAAACUGGUCUUCACCCGGUUCCUCCAACGCUCCCUCCUCUCUCCGGCUAGUUAGCGCGCGUAUCUAGCUUCCGCCUCCGCCCUUGUGGUGUACCCUUUGUAACUGUUACCGCUGAAACGGUGAACCUGUCUCUGACACUCCUUCCAGUCAUCGUAGACUCCGGGAACCUUACCCUUGUACACAACAUACGACGGCAUAUCUAUGCACUAGACAAACAAAACGUUAGUAGCAAUUCACAGACAAUACAUAAGCAAUAUAUAAGUAUGCAACAAAAGGAUCGGAAGAGAAAAGCAACACAUUAAUAGCACGAUUCAUGGUCCUACUAAUAAAUAGCAUCGAUUACAUAUAAGUUGAACGACUGUCCAAACUAAAGAGACAUACAAGUUCAUUAAAGUUUAAUUACAACAUGAGCUAAUCGAUAUUUCAGAACUACAUAGCAUCACUGCUUUCGACUCGACUCAGGGACCGGAGCGUGGAUGAAGCCGCCGUCUAUCGUGAUGGUAAUGAAAUCACGGUCGUUGUCAGCCUGCAUUUGUAGCGUUGUUUUUAUCUCACUGUUGGACAGUUGAUAUCUAAGGUGGAACUGCCCCGAGGUACGAAGGACAUCUUGAUGGAUGAUUUCCGCAAACAACGAGUGGAUGCGAAAGAAUUCUUGUCUGAUGUCCGCGUCCUGAAUUACCGACAAGCGUGCGGCCCAAUCUUUGAGAUUAGUUGGUAGCAGAAGGUGAUUAUGGUCCCGUACAAUCGCCCGCAUGUGAUGGAGGGCGUAGUAGGCAUCCUUCUGACCGCCAGGCAGCUGCUUGACGCAGGGAAACAUCGUAUUGUGGGUGAACACGUGCUUGCCUUACCUACAAAUUGGCCUCCUGAAGGUGCCUCCAGAUCUGGCGUAGCCGGGGAGAGCUUCAUCAAGAACUUUCUUAAUAUUUGUGUAGUCUUUCUUUGACUGACGGUCCGAGUCAAAAUACGUGGCCAUGGAAUAUUUCGGGCUUAAGAGGAUGAGUGUGCAAUGUGUGUCACUGCACAAAACACGGAAUGUUAGAAAAAAAAAGAACGAUCGAAAUCUAAGAAAUCAUAUGUUACGGGUAUCUGGGUUCGCCAGAAUGACGCCUUCGAGGUAUGAACUCGCGACUUGCCGGUCCCCAGCGCUGCCCAAGAUCUUGGUACGCAUGUAGAAGGAGUCGACUAUCAUGAUGCCCGGGGUCUUGUCUCUAAUGAUCCGCAUCUCCAUACUGAGCCAAAAUAGCCGAAUGAAGGUGUAGUGCAGCGGAUGAAGGUUAAACAUAGCGAAGAUGUCAUCAAACCGCAGGACGAUCAUACCCCCGAUGGUGCUAUCGACAAAGCCCUUGCCCUCUGGCACCUUGGCCACGAAAACCGGGUAUGCCACAUCAUUCUCGGAGAGACGCCGCUUCUCCAAAGAAAGAACACUGUCAUGCAGACUCCGCAUAGCACCGAUUGCAGCAUUGAGAAGAUUAGUCGGUAGCAUCGGCCUACCCGCCACAUGCACCCUCCUCGAGAUAUCCUUAGGUGAAGGUGGCCCGUCCUGAGCACGGAUCGUACUCGGUGCCGGCUGGCUCGCACCCUUGUUAUUCUUUCUUUUCCAUCCUUCUUCUUCUGCUGUAAUGGGAUCGAGUUCUGCUCAGAGACCGCCUUCUUGAGUGUGUUGGGGUUGAUAAUAUUUCGCACCUCGGCUAUCUGAGGCUCGGUGAAGGCGGCAGCUGGAGGCGUCUCCUAAGAACUGAACACCAGACGAUGCCUGUUGCAAUUGGGUUUCUCCGCGGUACCAGCUUGAUCGCGGUGGUCUUUUGCAGGGUUGGGUUCUUGAGAAGGAGGCCCCAAGAAUUCGUCACCGUACCCAUGUUCGUUGAAGUACUUAUCGACGUUGGUAAAUGUACCGUCGUCGUCUGGAUCCUGUGCCAUAUGCAUGUCCGGAUCCUGUGCCAUAUGCAUGUUCAGCAUGUCCGGCAGCGUUGCGGGGGUCUUGCCAUGGCUUGGCGCCAGCACGACUGGCGGUGUUGUCUGUGGGGUGGUGUCCCCCGCCCCCAAACGAAUCUGGCAAUUCGGCCAAAGCAGGGGCCAGCUUAAGCAGGCGCUGAGGGUCAUCACAUCAUCUUCGUCGGCCCCAGGGGAUCGAAAUGGAGGUAACAAGUCGUCGCAGCCCGGCAGCACCCAAACCAAUUGAACCCUAUACACGGUGGGUGGCAUCAGAUUACCAUGGAACACGGGGUUGCCCGAUUGAACGAUUCUGGCCUUGGCGACAUCGAUCAACUCGCCACCCACGAAGUGCAGGAGAGUGCAUGGAACAUCGGCGGCGCCCUGCGAAAACAUGUAGGGCGUCAGGGAUGCCCAGUCAAAGGCAAGGAGAUGAAGUCAUCGGCCAAGAGGCUUAGUUACCAUGAUGGCGUCUUGCUCGGCUAAUGUCGAGGCACCGCCAACGGCGGGCGUGCAAGUGACAGAGGGCCGCUUGCUGCCGAGGUGCCGGCCGGCGUAUUCUUCCCACAGCCGAGUGCAUUAAGCUCCAAUGCCCGUGCCGGCGCCAGAGACACCAAUACUGCCUCCGCCGGAGACACCAAUGGCGCCGCCGGCGCGUUGUGCGAGUUGCUGCCCGUGAAGCUAGGAAUCGGGGGCGGCCCCUGUUGGCCGCCCGCAAUCCACGCCUGCAGCCCCUCAAUCAAGGUAGGCACAAUGGCGGUGAUCGUCGCUCCCAGUUGGUCUCGCACUUGCUCUUGGACUAUCUCCGGAAUCUGCGCCACUUGUGCCUUGAGUUCUUGAACCUCGCACUCCUGGCUUUCCGAGUUGGUCUUUCUCUCCUUUCGCCCAGCGUUAUAGUAUUCUGACCAUUUCGUGGACAAGCCUUUGCCGGCCACACGACCAGCUGAUGACAGCUUACUGAACUAAUCCUUGUGUUUCAUUAAGUUCAACGCCCUAUUUAAAGUGGUGUCCCAAGGGGAGCUCUGAGACGACCCCGCGCUACAGCUUUUAGUGUCUUGCGGAAGGAACGUCAACCAUUUAGAAAUUUGGCUUCAUUAAUUAGAAUGCAACCAUAUGGAGCUAAUUACGCGGGGGUGUAUUCCUUUCCAGAACAAGCUCAAGCACCUUGGUCUUCGGAUCCGUGGUAAGCUCCUUUAUUACCGGGUCCACCUUGUACCGGGCCCUGACAUAGUUCCUAGUCUACUUGUCACGGUAUUUAUCGAAGAGGGGCGGUAGGCCUUGCUCGGCACGCUCUGCGUCCUCCUUGUCCCAUAUAGGUUCCGCCACUUUGUAAUCGCCGGGACCGAUAUUUUGGACCCCUAAGUUCAAGUCCCGCAUAUCUUUCCCCCACUGACUUGAUUCCACGGCUGCGUUGCUCUCGCACUUGAUCUUGAACUCCCGGUAGUCAGCUUCGCUGAUCGAAGGAUUUGUAUCCUUGAUCUUCUCAUAACUAUCACCUCUUAGAAUCCUUCUCCUCACCGCGGCUCUCCAAGUAGCCAGGGCCAUGCUCAUCUUCGUGAGGGCGGAACUGUUCACUUUAUUCCCCGAGAGGCGUGUGUUUGCGAAGUCACCGGGGAACUUGUAUCGUUCGUGCAGCUUCGUGAAGAGGAGGUUGCGCAAAUUCCCUUGGUCACGAUGCCUUAGGUUCUCGGUGUUGAUCGAUACGGUGCUCCGGAGAAUGCACCCGAGUUGUCCCGAGUACCCACUUACUAAUUCUUUAGGCACCGUUGGAUGCCCACUGGAGGACACUUCAGUAAAUUCCUGCUUGAUGGUGCCGAGCACGUUUGGGCGCCGGUCCUUCUGUUGCCUCUUCGGUUGGCAGCCAUCUGUGCGUGCACUGCCAUCAUCAGUGGUGGCAUCCUCGGCGGCACCAUCAGUGGUGUCAUCCCCGACGCCACUAGGGGUUGUGUAGUCAGGAUCGGUGUCUUCCGCGGCGUCCUCAUAGCGGUGAGGUUCUUCCUGCAUCUCCUGGGACAGCUCCCAGAAUGCCUUACCCGAACCACCGGCCUCAUCGUUGUGGGCCAUGUUCGCUCUAAAUAGGAAAAAAGUUUGGUCAAAAAGUUGGUUAUUGUAAAGGAACAAGAUCUCUAAGUUGACCAAAUAACCUAAUUCUCGAGGAAUGUCACCAAAAAGUUGGUUAUUGUCAAGGAACAAUUGAGAGAUGUUUGUGAUAUUGUCUAGGUGUUUUGGGAUGGAACCUGUUAGUGUGUUGUUGCUAAGGUCCAAGUCCACGUACUCAAGGUCUAAGAUAAUUUAAUCAGGGCAAUUGCAGUGGAUUUGUGCACAAGCUAAGCUAGCUAAGACAGUAGCUUCCUUGCAACCCACAAAAGACAAAGGAAAAGGGGUGAAAAGGGGGAGAUGGUUAGCUUUGAUGAGCAGGCAUCAUCUUCCUAACCCCCUUCUUCUUGUCUCCUCUCACUAUCUCUCUCACACACAUGGCAAGCAAGGGUGUCUGAGUGUGUGAAAUAAUACUAAACUAAUCCAACCACUAAAGCACUAGAUCACUACUAUUGUAUAAUCUUUUUAUAGCUUUGUAUAUAUGUAUGGCUCCAAUGGGUGCCACUGCCAUGCAUCCCUCUCCUAUCAUUUAAUCAUGAUUAGCCCAUCAUUUUGUCUAGAGAUUAGUUUUGGUUAAUUAAUUAACUAGUGUGUGCCACAGCAGAGCACAGAUCUCCAUCUAGCUAGUAGGAGUAGCUUUCCAAGGCCUCUUUCCAAGGCUUGUUUCGGUUGAGAAUCGGGCACCUUCUAGGUCAAGAAAAUUGGGCAUGACAUUUGCUAAUUUUCUUGACCUAGGAGUGCCCCAUUCUCAACCGAAACGGAAAUUAAUCAACAUUUCAGGAGAAAGGGGCCAUUUCAAAAGAUCACAAGUAGCAGAAGCAUCACUUGACAAAAUCACAAGUAGCAGCAGCAUCACAAGUAGUACAGCAGCAACAUCAUCACAAGUAGUACAGCAGCAGCAGUGAAUACAAUGCGUACAGCAGCAGCAUCAUCAUCACAAGUAUUGUGAUGCCCCUUCAAACAAGAGUUUCUUGCUCUCUCUUUUUUUUUUGACAUGAACAAACAAGGGUUGCCAAUUGAAACUAACUUGUGAUGAUGUUGUUCCUUUAAAGUGCAGUUCAGUAUAUGUAACAAAAAUCAGGUGACAAAACUUGCACACCCCUCUCCGCUUAACGAGGCAAGGAAACAGUGCCAGGAUAGCAACCAAACACUGUCCAGGCACAGUUUAGGGAGGCUCCAAGCCAGACACGAUUCAGUGUGGACACUAUCCAAACACACCCUACAUGACUGUGGAUACUUGUAAAAACUUGGUUUAGCUCCUUUCACACAUAUAUAAGCAGUUGGGAAAAAGACACAAUUUCCUGUAAGAACUUGAAAAAGAAACUAUGCCAUAUGUACUUCAAGACUUCAAGUAUAUAGCCAUAAAAAAUAGUUCAUGCAUGUAUGAGCCGUGGAUCGUGCUGUUUCCGAAAAGAGUAAACCCACGGGGGGCAACUUACCUGUGAUUUCAGGCUAAUUGUAUUAAAAUUUGAAGCAACUACUAUCAGACAUGUAAAAAAAGGUGCUAUAUCUCUCUUGUGCUAUCUCUCUCUUGCAAAAAAGUGCAGUUCCUUUAAAGUUUCAAAUAUGCACUUGCAUUGCAUUUAAACAUGCCCAUUGGGUGUGGGUGAACCAUUCAGAACAAUCAGCCAUGGCAAUGUCACAUUUCAGCACCAAAGUGGCUUGCACUUCUUUUUAGUUGAACUUUUUUUAAUAGACAAACAACUAAAUGCUCAGAACUACUACUACUACCACUAGAUCAUUUUCCUCUAGAACAGAACCAAACAUUUUUUUAUAUAAAAAUACGUAGUUCACAGAUUUUGGCACAAGAAGUCCAGUUCAUGUCGUACCAACAAUGCUUAAAAUAGUUGGCCAAACAAAAAAAUUAACAGUAAGGUGCAUUGACUUUUUCUUUAAAAGGUUAAGGUUAUACUUGAAGAACUAAGCUCCAGGUCCACUACAAACAAGUUUCAGUUCCAAGUUUGGCACUUGCUGUCCGACACAAGCCACAGCCCCCUUGAACAUUCAGCAAGUGCACGAAACAAACGCAUGUUACAAGACCAAAAACAUAUUGGCGCAUCAAUUGGAAGCCAUCCAUCAUAUACCAUCAGAAAAAGGCUAGAGAGAAUUGGGGAAACAAAGGUGAACCUCUCUCUUCUUGCACUCCUUGUAGUUGUCGAACUGUUGCUAGCACUUGCUCUUGUCCUGGUUGGUCUCCAGACCUGGAGACACGGCACAUCAUUAGAGAUUUCAUCAAAUACACACGAAAUUGUCCAGAAAUUAUGGCCAGAAAAUGAACUGGGGGUGAUUGGAUUAGAAAUUUAGGAUUAGGGGCGGAGGAUGCGCGUACACUUGAGGGAGGCGGUGUAUUGGGGGAAGCAGGAGGAGUCGGCGAUCUGGGCCGCGCUGGGUUAGGUCCGGAGUUGAGGUGGAGCGGAGACCGGAGCUGAGGUGGCCGGUGUUGAGGAAGAGGGGGGCGACGGGGAGCGGGCCGGCUGGUGGUGGAAGCCCCAGCCUAGGCACGGGAUCAGCUCCGAGGGAGGAGAGCGCGAGGUCGGCGGGGACGGGGGAUCUCCAGCUCGAACGGAUCCUCCAAGACAGCGUAGCGGAGCUUGGCGCAGCUCCUAGGCACAACGACGGAGCACGGGGCAGUCGGUGGCCGCGGUGACGCGUGGCGGCCGCGCUUGGGGAGGCGGGAGCCGCGAAGGGUUCGGUCGGCUGGGCGCGCCGCGGCGGAGGGCCGGUAGCGGCGGCUUGAACCCUAGGUCUCGCGCUCGGGAAGGGAUCCGGUGGUGGGCUCGGGGAGGAGGCGGCGNNNNNNNNNNNNNNNNNNNNNNNNNNNNNNNNNNNNNNNNNNNNNNNNNNNNNNNNNNNNNNNNNNNNNNNNNNNNNNNNNNNNNNNNNNNNNNNNNNNNNNNNNNNNNNNNNNNNNNNNNNNNNNNNNNNNNNNNNNNNNNNNNNNNNNNNNNNNNNNNNNNNNNNNNNNNNNNNNNNNNNNNNNNNNNNNNNNNNNNNNNNNNNNNNNNNNNNNNNNNNNNNNNNNNNNNNNNNNAAGGGGAUCGGCGGCGGUGGCGUGAGGGGAGAAGGACGAACGGGUAGGCGAGGGGCGAGAUGGGAGAGGCGAGGGACGAGGGGUGGAUAUUUUAGUGGGGGAAGGUUAGCAAUGGCGCACCUCCUAGGGGUGCGCCAUAAAUACCGUGAUAGCAAUGGCGCAUCCUCCCCUGGUGCGCUAUUACUAACUUUUUUUUGGAUAUUUAGUUGCAUCUAAUAAUUUUUUAGAAAAUAACGAUCAAAUUUGAAAACAUUUAUGAAUGUGAAAAAUAUCAUCAAAUUUGAAAACAUUUAUGAAAAAACAUGAAUAUGAAAACAUUUAUGAAUAUGAAAAAAUAUCAUCAAAUUUGUUAUUUGAAAAUAUAUUUUUUGGAUUUUUAGUUGCAUUCAUUUGUGAAUUAGUAAAACAUUUAUGAAUAUGAAAAAAUAUCAUCAAAUUUGAAAAAAUAUUCAUGAAUUCAAAAAUGCCCAUGAAAUUUAACAAUAUUCAUGAGUUCAAAAAAUAUUAACAAAUUCAAUACUUUUUGUGAGUUAGAAAUUCAAUACGAGAAUAAACAUAAAUAAAAAUUGGUAUACCGGAAUAAACAUAAAUAAAUAUUCAUGAGGACUAGAACAGAAGAAAUGUCAUUUCCAUAUGUCGAAAUACAAUCGAGAAAUGAAGAAUACAAUUUAAAUACAAUCGAUCUUAGCUAGCUAUCUUUUCACAAUCUUCUUGUCCUUUUUCGCAAAUGGAGUUCUUCUCUUGAACAGACGUCCUUUAGGUAGGAUGGUCCUGCUGCUUCUUGUGGUGUAUGGUACUUCAUCGUCGUCAUCAUGUUCCAUCUUCGGGUCGCCGUACUUGUCGAAGUCUUGCUCAUUGGCGACUCUAUCCAUUCCGAUGAUCUUCAUUUUGCCUCUCCUCACGACAACACGACUGGGCUUUGACAGGUCCGUAAUGAAGAAGUAUUGGUCCACUUGGGAAGCCAGUACCCAUGGCUCAUUUUUCGCAGUGAUAUUUGCGUCCGCGGUCUUGGAUUUGGCUUCGGGUAUAACCAUGGUGGUGAAAUACGGGUGUUCUUUUAGGACGCUCUUGGCCCAUCUGACACGGAACAUCGGGACCUUCUCUCCAGCGUAGCUCAGCUCAUAGAUCUCCUCGAUCCUUCUGUAGUAUAUGUCCUUGUCGUUACCGGUGUAGCAUUCCAUCGUUAUCCUAGAGUUCUGAUAAUCAUCGCUCUUCAUGUCCUUUUCCUCGGUGUAGAAUGUGUAGUCGUUGAUAUCAUACGUGUCAUAGGUCAUCAGGUUGUGCUCGGCGCCCUAUGAUAAUGCGAAUAUGAGUUUUCCUUCCGCGGAAGAAUCCUCAUGUAAAGGGUACGACAGAAGCUUCUCCUUGAACGAACGCGUGAAACAUGAGUUGUGCUCUUUGAUUAUAUUUCCGUCCGUCCUCUGUUGGCCUCGGUCAUUGUACGGCUUCUCAAUAAAGGUUUUGUGCUCUACCACCCAAGGAUAGACCACGUCUAUGUGCUGUAGCACGACUAGGUUUGCUCUUUCAAAGUCAGCGAGUCGACCCUUGAAGUCGACAUGCAUUUCGCGGCGACCCUCGUGGUGACCCCAUCCAGCGAGCCUGCUGAGGUGCCUGUUGACGGGCAGACCAACCGGAUUCUCGAUGCCUAGAUAAUUCGUGUAGUAGGAGAUGCACUCUUCGGUCAGAAAGCCCUUGGCUAUGCUUCCCUCUGGACGUGACAUGUUGCGAACGUAUCCUUUGAUGACACCAUUCAUCCUUUCGAACGGCAUCAUGCUGUGCAGGAACGUCGGCCCGAGUUGGAUGAUAUCCUCCACGAUAUGGACCAGCAGAUGCACCAUAACGUCAAAGAAUGCGGGCGGGAAGUACAUCUCAAGCUCGCAUAGUAUCACCACGAUCUCUUCCUAUAGCCUUCUGAGCUGCCUCACGCACACCGACUUCCGAGAGAUGACGUUGAAAAAGUUGCAUAUGCCAAAUAGCAUUUCACGGAUGUGCGCGUCCAUGAUCCCAUGGAUUGCAAUUGGAAGUAUCUGCAUCAUCAGCACGUGACAGUCGUGAGACUUCAUCCCGCUGAACUUCUGCUUCGCUGAGUCUAGGUAUCGGCUUAUCUUCUCCGGUAACCGUAAGGAAGUUUUACUCCUACGAGGCAGGUGAAAAACUAUUCGUUCUCCUCCUAACUUAGAGUGAAGCACGUGGAAGGGCAGUCAUUUCCAAUCUUCUUGGCCUUUUUGCCUUUGCGACGACUUUCUGUGUCCUUCGCCUCAUCAUCAUCAUCAGCAGCAUCAUUAUUAGCGUGAAGCUCCUCCCUGAUGCCCAUUGAUUUCAAGUCUGCCCUUGCUUUCGGCCCAUGUUUGGUCCUCUCUGGCAUGUUGAGCAGGGUACCAAGCAGACUCUCGCACACGUUCUUCGUGAUAUGCAUGACAUCAAGGCUGUGAGGCACACGGAGGAUCUUCCAGUAUGGCAAGUCCCACGUAUUGGCUGGCGUUUUCCAUAGCUUGUCUAGCUCCUCUUUCAGCAGCCCUAAAUACAGAUUGAUGUCGUUCCCUGGAUGUUUCGGCCCUUCAAUUAGCAUACUCAUGUGAAUGUACUUCCUCUUCAUGCACAACCAGGGGGGAAGGUUGAACAUCCACACAAACACAGGCCAGGUGCUAUGUGUGCUUCUCUGGCUGCCAAACGGAUUGACUCCAUCGGUGCUCACGCCCAGCAUGAUGUUCCUUGGAUCGUCCCCAAAUUCUAGGUGUUCGAAGUUCAACGCUUGCCACUGGCUCGCAUCCUUAGGGUGACUCAGCAUCUUGUCUUUUUUAUUUAUCUCCGGAUCAUUUCCGUCAUCUUCUCGCUUUUUCUCCUCCCUAUACGCGUGCCAACGCAGGAGCUUUGCUACCUUAGGGUCCAUGAAAUACCGCUGCAGACGAGGAGUGAUCGGAAAGUACCACACCACUUUUCGAGGAGCUUUAUUCCUCUUCUUGUAUCGAGUGAUGCCGCACGCCGGACAUAUGGUAGACUCCGCGUGCUCGUCCCGAUAAAUGAUGCAAUUGUUCAUGCACACAUGAUAUUUCACGUGCGGUGAAUUCAGAGGACACACGAUUUUCUUCGCCUCCACGAAACUGGUCGGGCACUUGUUCCCCUUGGGAAGACGUUCGUGCCAGAAUGACAUGUUCUCGUCGAAGCAUGCGUCGUUCAUUUUGUGUUUUACCUUCAUCUACAGAGCCAUGAGCGUUACUUUCAGGCGGGUAUCCUCGGGCCUGCAUCCUUCAUACAAUGGAGUAACCGCGUCUAUCUCCAGUUGAUCCAGCUUGGCUUUCUCUCGCGCGGCAGCUCUUGCGUUAUCCGUCUGCUUGAGAAGCAGCUCUUGAAUAUGAGGGUCCUGCACCCAGCCCAUCGAUGGUCCAUCGUCGUCUGCUCCGUCGGUAUCUUCAUCUUCAUGAUCAUGCCCUUCGUCUGCUCCGGCAUCUUCCUCAUCAUCAUGUCCUGCAUCUUCUACAUGAUGACUGUGUACAACAUCACCGUCGUGAUCAUGUCCUGGAGAUUCUUCGUCUUCUCGCCCGCCCGAGCAGCGGUGGUUGUCUUGCUGCCCUUCCUCAUUUCUUGCCCGGCCCCCAUGGACGACUUCAUAAUCAUCUUCAUGACCUUGCCACCGAUAGCCAUCCAUGAAACCACGCAAGAGUAGGUGGCCCCGCACCUGUACGGAAUCCGGUUCCAUAAGGCUCUUCAGCUUGCAUCUUCAACACAGACAUCUUAUCUCCGUCUCAUUCUUUUGAAUCAUCUCGGGCUUCGCGGAGAUCAAAAACCUAUUCAUGAUGCCUUCGGUCAUCGUGCGGACCAUGGUCGCCUGCGGGGUAGAGCAAAGCAAUAUUUUAGAACCAAAAAAAAUUGGCAUGACUUUGCCUGAAAAUAGGACCAAAAAGAAUGCGUAGUGCCAAAUUCUUGCCGAAACGGAAAUGAAUCAACAUUCCGGCAAAAUAUUGGCAACUCGCAUUUCAAAUACCGGAACCUGCAAACACAAACAUAUGCAACACCACAAACAUAUGCAACACCACAAACAUACGUAGAUCUAGGCCAUAAAAAGUGCAUGUGCACGUUGUUGGAGGGAGAAAAAAGUAGAUCUACAACAUAAGCUUUCCCCUUACUUACCUAUAAAAAAAGGGAAUUUAAUCACUUAAUUUGGGUGAAUCUAUGGUGCAAAUGAGGUGAGGAGGAGGAGGCAGCCGAGACAAGCUUGAAAGAGGAGGUGGAGAGAAUGAAGUAGGGAAAGUGAGUGUGGUAGGUGGCUGUCCAAAAUAUCUAGCUGUUCUCAGGUUACCAAUGACGCACCACCUAAUAAUGCGCCAUUAGUAACCAGUUACUAAUGGCGCACCUGUUAUAUGGUGCGCCAUUACUAGUUUUGAAAAAAAAGUUGUUCGUAGUGGCGCACCGUGGUUGUGGUGCGUCAUUACUAGUUUGAACUAGUAAUGGUGCAAUAUCUCCUGGUGCGCCAUUACUAGUUUUGAAAAAAGAAAGUAAAAAAAUUGUUAGUAGUGGCGCACAGAGUGAGUGGUGCGCCAUUACUAGUUAAAACUAGUAAUGGCGCACUAUCCCCUGAUGCGCCAUUACUAGUUUUAAAAAAAAAUUGUUAGUAGUGGCGCCAUUAGUGAUAUGAACACUAAUGACGUACCUAUACAUGGUGCGCCACUGCUAUAUAGCAGUCGCGCACCACAUUUGUGGUGCGCCAUUAAUGUUCAUAUUAGUUAUAGCCCUUUUUCUAGUAGUGCUACCUUCUUAUCUCACAUGUAAAAAGAGAAGGUAAGAGGGAGCAUGUUAAAAUUUGCCAUGUAUAUGCAAUGCGUUCUUAUUGACGGAUGGAUGCGGUUGUGUCAGUGGUCGUGGUCGUCACCGCGUUGGUCUUCAUAUCUCCUCCUCCUUAUACUACUACGUAAUACAUUAGAAUUAGCGUUAGGUAAACUUUAGGUAGGAGACUGAUAAUAGACAAGGAUGAUGGCCUUGUCACGUUUGUUAUGUUAAUAUACAGUCAGGCUCAUUCAUACAAGGCUUGCCCCAGCACUGAGUUACAAGAAAUCAGCUUAAGAUAUCUUGCAAUCACACCAUAAUCAUACACAUAUGUGAUUUUUAUGCAAAUCCUUUCUUUGACCUACUACGACCAGCAACUACCGGCCUGCACAAUUUUCUAUCAUUCCAAAACAAAACGAGCUAUUGUACAACAUGGAGAUAAGACAAUUACAAGGGGAAGAGAUCUAAGAAGACAAAGUACAUAACCAAGAAAUAAGAAUUAUUGCUUAUAGAAAACAAUUUUUUUUGAAAAGGAGGAAGACCCCCGGCCAAGCCUAACAUCCAAGACCUGAGGCCCCGACCAAGCCACUUGCCGGCUAUGGGGCACACACCGGUCCGGCGCACACACAGAGGCCGCCGCAGCCAACUGCCACCAAUCCAUCUUCAGAGCUGUACUGACGCAUCAACCUUGCCUGGUCUAGCUGCUGUCGACGCCACCACGACGCCAGACAACGCCACCAUCAUGGACUCGUCCAUCAACACAAGCCUAGCAGCGAGACCCCGCUGCUCCAUGCCACUGAGACCCGCCAUUGUCGACAUGUCAGAUGCAACGCUGCUCCUCCUUUACGAACACCACAUGCAGCCACUGGUGCCAUCCCUCCACUCCCAACCGAGCCCCAAUGCCCCUGACGACGCCACCAAGAAGGUCACGACGCGAACAGCGCCGCUACCGCCAAAUUCAAAGAGGAUUGGAGGUUUUCACUCGGCAUGAGAUCGGGGUGGGUAGAUUGGGCCCUCAGCUGCGCCUUCAUGAAGGAAAGCGAAACCCAUGGGUGCCGCCGCCGCCGGGCUGGCCUGACCGGCCAAGGUUUCCCCCGGACACAAGGUACACCACCAGGGCUCACCAUCACUGAAGCCUGUAGCCGCAAACCACCGGGACGCCGAGAGAGGCAACAGGGGAAAAGGGAACCUCCAGAUCUGACGCCACGACACCAACCCACCGGAGGAUCACGGGCCACCCGAUCCAAUCCCCAGCAGCCCACCUGCCCCGCUGCGCCCGGACACGGAGGCCAACCCAAGGGCUGCCACCCCAGAUCCAGGGCCCUCCGCUCGAAAUCAGGCAGAGCAGAGCCAGCCUGCCGCCACGACCAUCACUGGGUCACCGGCCGGCCGCCACGCUGUUGUGCUCCAGAUGGAGGUCGCCGUGGGCCAAAUCGGUGCCGCCGCCAUCGAUAGGGGACUCGUCCUCAAGAUUGGGGAUCCCGCGCAUCCCGAUCCCCAAGUGAGAGGGCGAUGCCUCCGCGUCGCCAUCACAUGCACGGGCUUAGCCCGGCGCCAACCACCGGCGGCGGCGGAGGGGAGAGCGAGAAGGAGGAGGGGCACCGGCGGCGGAGGGUUGGGUCCCCUUGGUCACCCGCGCGGUGGGCGAUGGAGGGGAAGGGGGAGGGGGAGGGGGAGAGCUUACAGAAAACAACUACAUGUCACUAAGGAACAGAACGAGAGAUCAGAUAGAAAAGUAGAGAAAUGAGUAAACGGCUUGUUGCGUAUGCUUGCCCAUAGCAGAAGGUCAUCUCCACAACUAGGAAUAAGAACAGGGUAGUCCUCUUUUUUUUGUUAAAUCUUCGGGUUAUGGUGCUUCCAAAUAUUCCAAAGAAAGCAGAUGCACAACAAAGAGGGGACCUAUUUGGUAGAAAAUCGAGGCCGAGGACAAGCAAUCACAAGCAUAAAAUCAAUAUUUGUUGACAAGGUUUUGCAAACUAGUCUACUCACCAAGCAGGGUUACGAGAGCUCCUCCCCAGGUACUAAAUUGAGAUGACAAAUUCCACUAAGGCAAUCGAACAACAUGUCUAGCCAAUCACCACUACCGGUCAGGCCAUCCCUGCCAUGUCCCCCGCGCCUUCCCUCGUGUGAUUCAUGUCUAGACUACCAGUUUCGUCUAGUCUAUUUUGGCAACCCGUGGUGCCUUUAUAUGUUAGACCUUGGUUACGCGUAUUUGAUUCAAACACCUUACAUUCCGCAAAGUACAAGUCUAAUAAUAGUACAACUCUAACACAUAUUCGACAAAAUUCAAACAAACUUAUGACUCGUGAAUAUGUCUUCGUCAUCUUCAAGCUCCCAAGCAUGGACCACAAUGUACUAAAUUUGGACUUGAACCAUCAGGCAUGAUAGAGCAUGAUGAACAAAACAUACAUGAUAAUCGGACCAUUAUAAGUACUAAACAAUCUAGACAUGCAAUCUGAUAGAUAAGAAAGCAUAGGAUGUCCAUGUUGAUUUGUACUACGAAUACACCAAUGGAAAAGCCUAAUUAAAAGAAGCGAUAAGAGUACUUACGAGAUGGGUGUAGCAUAAGCAACGUUAGAUGCAGCGGCGGUGUCCUUAGUAUUGUGGUUGGACGGAGCCAACUAGUAGUCCAUGAACUAGUUGAUGGAGCAUGAACAUUCGAGUAAUCAUGGGAGUAGUAGCAGUAUUGUGGUCCCCAAAAACCUAAUCACCUCUCUCUUUUACAUGAUUGCAAGAGACGGGGUUCCGGAGGCCUGCUCCCUCCCCCUUCACGGUGCACGUCGAGAAGCAGGAUAGAGAAACUUAGAAGCGGCACAGUUCACAUAGACUUCAGUCAAAUAUUAAAAUUCCUUAUUCAGAUGAAACAUCAAAGUUAAGAGCCAACAUCAAAACAAAAGGAGCUCCACAUGUUGGUUCUUUGUCCAAUGAACUAAUUUUUCAUCCAGCACUAAACAAGCUUGUGCCAUGACACCAUCCAUGCAUAGAGUGGAAUACUUCACUUGCUAACUCUUCGGACGGUCUUACCCCCCAGUUCGACACUUCUUUAUUUUCCUGUUUCCUCUGCAAAAUUGGCCAUGAUUUAAUUCAAAACCCCACCAUGUUGAUCUUAGUACAUCGACAAUCAAUUUUCUUAUCAUCAAAACAAGCACCACUUCUAAUUAUUCAAAUGGUCAAGAAAACAUAAGCAAUUCCAACCAUUACUAGAUGUUUGACUUGCCUUGAAAAUCAAGAAAUCCAUGAAGUAAACGUUUAUUCGACUGAAUGUCUGAUUCAGAUACUCUAAAUGUAGAAGGCACACUGCAUAACAUUCCAAACUAGUUUUGCAAGAGAACACUUAAGGAAAAAGAUCAACUAUUUUAUCUAAACCACAAAAUUGACAUCUAUUUUCUUAUUGUUAAUCCCUCUUCAGGAUCAACAAUUAAGGAAAAAGGUGAUAAAAAUUUAUUCCCCCUUCUCGCAGCUUUUUCGGAAGUCCUUUAGGUAAAUCUCUGCAAUUUAACAUGAACGUGAAGUAAAAAUUAUGCUAUGGUGAUCAAAUAAGCAUCAAAUUGGAGUACUUACCUUAUGAAAUCACGUAGUGUUGCCGUGUGUAUCCUAGUUUUGCAGAGGCCGGGUGUGCGCUCAUUGUCAUUGUACCAAUUGAUGUUACAUUAUGAGUCAAUACAAAACGUCCUUUGUCGAGAAAAUGAAAUCAUGAUGCAAAAUGCAUAUAUCAAUAAUUAAUCAUUAUUGUUUCCAUAGCAUCGACACCACAUAUAAUGCAUGCAUGUACUCCCUCCGUUCCUAAAUAUUUGUCUUUCUAGCUAUCUUAAAUGGACAACAUACGGAUGUAUGUAGACAUGUUUUAGAGUGUAGAUUCACUCAUUUUGUUUCGUAUGUAGUCACUUGUUGAAAUCUCUAGAAAGACAAUUAUUUGGGAACAGAGGGGGUAUAUGUUAGUACAAAUUGAUAAUCCAUCUUGUCCCUUGUUAACAGGCACCAACUGGACAAGUGGUCACAGGGCAUGCCAUGACCAGGCCACUAUAGUCGUGAGACAUAUAUUAGUCAGAUGUUAUUCUACACUUUCAAGGAAGAAUAAGAGUCCGACGUUAGCACGCGCAAGCAUGCUAAGUGUGUGUGUAAGUUAAGUAUGUGAAACAUGCAUGAACUUGCGCCGAUUAUACUGUUAGCCGUUUUAGGUUUUGGAUUCAUCGGAGUCUUGCCACCGCUCUACCUUAGCUAGGGCAUCUUCUAGUCACUGAACCGCCGUCACACACGCCACUGUGAUAACAAAUGCAGACCUUGAUACCGAAUGCCAAAUUCCUGCUCGAAAGAAACUGGAUGAACCCACAGUACAUGUAUGUCACUAUUUCCUUUUAUUCAGUCGCCCAACAACAACCUGCACAUGGCUAGACAACAUAACCGGAGAAAAACUUUACUUGGCCGCAAUGUGGACUAGCACGCUUCUGGCCUACAAGCAAAGUACCUACGGAUUCCGUUGAGCCGAGUUUACAAAUUAACAUAUUGCAAUAUAAACUAGAGUACUUGACGCAAACACACCGCUUAACUUCGUCCUGGUCGGACGAUGUCGGAGAUCAGGUGGUCUCACCCCUUUGGAGGCUUACUCUCACUUUUUAUUCUUAGGCGGCAGCUUCCUGUUCUUCUUCUAAGUCAGCAUCGGGUUAUUCCUGGACUGCACCUGGUUCUUCUUGAACGACGGUGGUUUUGUCAACUGGGUACUGAUUGACGGUGCCUUGGUCUUGUUAGGGGCAUCCUUUGCAGGUUCCUUCCCCUUGCCCAUGACGCAAUCUCCUUCUCUUCUUCUUGACCACGUGCCGGCGUAACUCAAGUGUUUGGACCCACGUGUCAUACAUAGUUCAUUUUGUCCAUGUUAUAUUUAGAGUGGAACCAUGUAUCAGUACAAGACAUGUGUCACCGUUUCGACUAAUCCGUGUCGUUGUAGAUUUCUUUCAUUUCAAUCUAAUUCAUGCAUGACUUUUAACAUAUCUUCAAAGAAUACGAGCUGCUGUAUUCCUGUUGCUUUUAUUACUUUAAAAAUAUAAUCAAUAGAAGUUCCUGGUUAGUUCAUUUAGAUUCAGUGGCACACAUACAUGGUUUCGACAGUAAAGCUAGUAGCUUAUACAAUAUUCCGCGGCCGGUGUCCAUCAGAGGUAUAGAUACCACUAACGGGACACAUUACAACACCGCCCAAUGGCCUUCUCUCUUGUAGUGAUGGACUCUUUUGUCAUUCGUUCUGUUGUAACCAUGAGUGGGACAAGAUACUCGAUUUGCCUAUCUUAGGAUUUGUUGAAUGCAAGGUGGUUAAGGGAGGUUCUUAAAGAAAUAAACCAACUUUUUCUUUGUGCAUCAAUUCUUGUUCAUAGAGGGCAGAUGCUUAAUUAGGCAUCCCUUCUAUAGAGAUAACCGAUGGUGCUUAAACAAGAAACUUAAAGGUUUUUCCUUUAGAAUCAGCGGACGUUCAUAUACAUGAAUUUACACUCCCCUAUGAAUUCACACACGCACACUCUAUCCCUUAUGAGCACCUCUGAGAAAUUGAACCAACAGGUUGCGAGAUUGACGAAGUCAUGACCUGUGCAUCGCUGUCGAUGGGUCGUCGCUUACAGCGAAAGAAUAAGUCGUUAAACCCAGAAAUAUAUCGGGAAAACUGCAAACACCCUUCUCAAGUCAAGGACUUGAACCAGGUUGGAUAGCUUCCACCACAAGGAACCUAACAAACUGUGCUACGCUCAAUUCACCGAAGAGAUAAUGGUUGCGGUUUAUUAACCCUAUAUGUAUGUCUUUUUCGGCUCUUUCUUCUUAUUCAACUUCCCAACAAUAACCUCCCACAUGACUCAUAACACAACACAAGGAAAAAAAGGACUUCAUUUGGCCGCAACGUGAACCAGCACGCUUCUGGCCUAUAGACAGACUGGCUACGGAUUCUACAGCAGUGAUCGGAUCGAAUCAAAUUUACAAAUUAACUUACUGUAACGCAAACGGAGCUACUCAACAUAAACACACAUAACUUCAUCCUGGCCAGUGGACGUCGAUCACUGCGCGGCUGUUGUCACCUCUUUCGAGGCUAAUUCUUCUUAGACGGCGUCGUCUGUUUCAUCUGCUUCUUCUGAGGCAGGAGCGACUUCCUCCUAUGGGCUGUCUUCGUCAAUUGCGUAUUGCUUGACGAUGCCUUCACCUUCUUUGGGGGAACCUUUGCAGCUUGCUCGCCCAUGACAAGAUUUGCUUCUUUUCUAAUAAUUCUUCUUCUCCAGUGGUAGCUGAGGUGAGGUGGAUAUAGUGUUUACUUUGCUCUGGUUGGGUUGAGGAAGCCUGCAGCAAUGGCUCCAUAUAUAUAGGAGGGGGAAGGUCUUUGAGAAAGCGCUUCGGCCAGACAACACGCUUCCACCGUGUGUGAGAAUUAUUUGGUGGCAUUAAUGUUUCUUGUGCCAGUCUGUUCUCUUUUGGGGAGUAGAUAUGCAUUAUAUUCAAUGCAUAUUAGUUAAGGAUCGCUGCUCAAUGGUUUGGUCAAUGGUUGGGUAUGCGGUUGGGUCAAAGGUUGUGGUCGCUGCCGCGUUGGUCUUUGUUUCUUCUCCUCCUGCUCCUUAUAUUACUACUACAUCAGAAUAAGUGUUGGUGGUUCAGUUUUGGUAGCACACGCCAGACACACAGAUGGCUUGUUAGUUGUUAGCAAGUACACACGAUGUUGCCGUUGCAUGGGAUGUUUUGCUAGAGCUUGAGUUUACAUUAGCCAAACCAAUUGGUAUCAUGUACGACAAAUCUUGUAUAUAUGUUUUGGUAGAGCUUGAGUUUAGAUUAGCUAAACCAUAAUAACUUUGUAUAUUAGUUAGGGGUCGAGUUGACAAGAGAGUUAUUUACCCAGGUUCAGACCUUGUGAAGGAGAACAUUAAUCAAAUUAUAUUUCAUGAGCUGGCCAGUAGGCAAAGAUCAUGUCAAGGUUAAAAAAUGAAUAGGAAUCGGCCGGCGCACGCACAAGCUGCCUAGCUUCGUCGACCUUCUCUUCUUUAUUUAAUUUACUCCUCCUGCUACCACGGCAUCUCGUUAACCACUAAUAUUGGAGCAAGCUAAGUAUGUUAAUACCGCUACAUAAGAACACCACUCAACCACUCGCUAGAGUCUUCCCGCUGCUCAAUUACUAGCGCACUACCUUGAGCUGUCCCGCUUGUUUCUCCUUGGUGGUAAUGCUAAAGAAUAUUGCAAGAAACUGGAAUGAACACGCAAAAGACAGAGGUAGUUCAGCAACGUGUUAAUUAAUCACGUGUACGUCUUUUCUGACUCAUUUCUUUUAUUUGGUCACCCAAUAACACCAGAAAAACACAAAUAGCCACAACAUGAACUGGCACACUUAAUGUUUUUGCAGGAAAAACUCUCGUAAUUCAAACAAAAAAAUUUCAAAAAAAUAAUUCAAAAAAAAUCCUAAAAUUUCCUUUAGUCCCGGUUGGUGUUACCAACCGGGACUAAAGGGCCAGGGCAUUAGUACCGACCCUUUAGUCCCGGUUCAUGAACCGGGACUAAAGGCCCUCACCAACCGGGACAAUAGGCCCUUUUUCUACUAGUGUCACUUAGUUCCGAGAUACAAGGCCAUUUAUAAAAAAAUCUAAGAAAUACAGUUUACCACUAUUUGAAUUAAUAUUGAAAAUUGCAUUUUUUUUGGAAUGUUGAAAUACUAUGAACAAAAAUCUAAUCAUGCGUGUUUUGUUUUGACAAAUCCUUGCAUACAUUUAAAUUGAUAUUAGAAUCAAAUAAGCUUUCUAUCUAAAAUUGUGAUUUAUUUGCUUCCAAGUCAUCAUAUUCUCGUUUGAGAAUGUAAAUAUUAUUACCUUCUCCUCUAUGCUUUAAUCUCUAUUGUCUCCUCUUAUUCAGUUCAUAGAUCGUAUGUCUCCUUCAUGUAAUCACAUGUACUCACACCAUUAUAUUAUUUAAGUUUGACCGACAAUAUGACUAUAUCUAAUGGUUGUGUAUGUGAGUGAGGUUGCUCGUUCUCAUCCACCUAGGUAAUCUUUUGGAUUGGCAUGGCUGUUCUGUCAUAUUGUUGAAGUAGAUGCAUAUGUGUAUAUUAUUGUGUAAAUGCUCACCGGCACCAAGAGAGAAUGUGAAACUUCCAAUAUUUUUCAUGGGCAACAUAUAAAAGAUAAGCUAAGUUGGCCCUAUAGCGCAGAUAAAUGUCACUAUAUCCCGUUAGAAGCACUAAAUUGUACAUAUGUGUUGUUUAGCAGGAUUCUAGAGGUUAUAGCCGCGGAAAACAUUCAACACACAUCUCUAUCCAAUUGUGAUAAUCAUACAUGCUAGCACAUUAUUAGACAUAUCUGUAGUAUGCUAAGUGUAACAAUAUGGCCUCUUCUACUUUGUUGAAGCAUCGUAUCAUGUUACAAAUAUAACGAAAAAUCUUCAAGAUCCGCUUGUAAAUCCCCAAGUACAUAAAUUCCCAUUCAAUUUAGAAGUCCGACAAGAUGCCAAGGUCGGCUCAUUGGGGGCAUUCCUCAAGUAUGUUACAUGACUUGACUAUAUAAUUUUAUUUCCCAUGCAGAGGUAGAAGAAAACCGUCCUCAAUAUUGUCUCCUCUUAUUCAGUUCAUAGAUCGUAUGUCUCCUUCACGUAAUCAAAUGUACUUACACCAUUAUAUUAUUUAAGUUUGAUCAACAAUAUGACUAUAUCUAAUGGUUGUGUAUGUGAGUGAGGUUGUUCGUUCUCAUCCACCUAGGUAAUCCUUUGGAUUGGCAUGGGUGUUGUGUCAUAAUGUUCGAGGUAGAUGCAUAUGUGUAUAUUAAUUGUGUGAAUGCUCACCGGCACCAAAAGAGAAUGUGAAACUUCCAAAAUAAAUCAUGGGCAACAUAUAAAACAUAAGCUAAAUUGGCCCUAUAGCGCAGAUAAAUGUCACUAUAUCCCGUCAGAAGCACUAAAUUGUACAGAUGUGUUGUUUAGCAGGAUUCUAGAGGUUAUUACCACGGAAAACAUUCAACACACAUCGAUAUCCAAUUGUGAUAAUCAUACAUGUUAGCACAUUAUUAGACAUAUCAGUAGUAUGCUAAGUGUAACAAUAUGGCCUCUUCUACUUUGUUGAAGCAUCGUAUCAUGUUAAAAAUAUAACGAAAAAUCUUCAAGAUCUGCUUGUAAAUCCCCAAGUACAUAAAUUCCCAUUCAAUUUAGAAGUCCUACAAGAUGCCAAGGUCGGCUCAUUGGGGGCAUUCCUCAAGUAUGUUACAUGACUUGACUAUAUAAUUUUAUUUCCCAUGCAGAGGUAGAAGAAAACCGUCCUCAAUACUGGAUCCAUCCAGAGGUGGCGGCAGUUUACAACCUCACAUCGACUGGAGACUAGCAUCGCCCUUGGAAAUGCCCUUGUAUUGCUGCUAACGUAUUUCUCAUUUCCCAAUAAACUGGAUGCAUUCAUGGAACAUGUAUGCCAAUCUUUCCUUUUAUUCAAUCACCCAACAACAACAUGAUGCACGACUCAACAACACAUGUAAGAAGAAACUAUACUUGGCCACCACGUGAACAAGCACACUUAUGAUUUACAUACUGAGGUUACUAAUUUAGAUAACACAACAUAAACUGACGUACAAGACAGAGACACAAUUGACUUCAUCAUUGCCAGACAACAUGGAUGAGAACGCGGCUGCUCUCACCACUUUUGAGGCCACUUCUUAUUUCUUAGGCUGCGGCUGCUUCUUCUUAGCCAUCAUCUCUUUUUCUGAGUCAGCCUCACGUUUAUCCUACGGUUACGCCCCUUCUUAAGAUUCCUUCGUUGUGCCCCCGGCUUAUUGGUUGACGGUUGCGUUGGCCUGUUAGGGGGAACCGUUGUACCUGGAACCUUUGGACCUGACUUGUCCAUGACGCCUCCUCCCCUCCUCCUCCUCCUCCUCCUCCUCCUCCUCCUCCUCCUUCUUCUUCUUCGCUUGUGCAAGGUAGGUGAGGUGAGGUGGAUGUGGUGUUUGUUUUGCACCGGUUGGUUUGUGGAAUCAUGCAGCAACGGCGCGCGCAUAUAUAUAGGAGGAUUAAGGACUUGGCGAAGCGCUCUGGCCGUACAAGGUGGUUUCAUUGAAGGAAAAUGAUUUGGUGGCAUCCCCCGUGCUGCUGUUAGUCAGUCUCUUUUGUGUCGUUUUGGGGAGUAGAUAUGUAUAUUUGAUUCAUUUGUUAUGGGUGGAUAAGUAUGCAGUUGAGUCAGUGGUCUUCGUUGCUGACAGUUGGUCUUCAUUUCUUCUUCUCAUCCUCCUUGUACUAUAGCUACAUCAGAAUAAGUGUUGGUGGUCAAGUUUUACUAGCAUAUACCACACGGCUUGUUACUUGUUAGGCCAUCUUCAACGGCUAUCCGUGGACAAAGAGGAUCAGUCCGCGGACACAAAUUUAGGAGCCGGCUAUCCAACGCUGCACCAUACAUUUGAAACACUUUGUCAACAAAGCAGAUGUACCUCACUCAGACACAUCAGAUUACAUAUAAACCUGGUGAAAACAUUUAUAUUUUUGACAUAUUCUAACUAAAAAACUAAAACUAUGUGCAUGUACCACCACACGGAGGUCCACUACCAUGACACGGAUACAUUACACUAGUCUACGAUCGGCCGCGGAGUGUCCCUUUGUCUUCCCCUUGUCAGGCAGUCUGGUGACUCAUCGGAUUGCUGGGAGCCCCGGAGGUAUAUUCCUCCCCUGUAUCUUCCCUAUGUCUGGCUGCGCCGCUUAUCGGAGUGGCAAAGAGGGUGCUUCAGUCGGAAGGGAAGGGGGAAUCCGCUUCCGUGAAGCGCGGAUCAGGGUUGGUUUUUGGGGCAGGGGAAGAUGGUGGCCUGCGAGACAGGGCGAGACAUUUGGUGUGCAUGCGGCGAUGCUGCGGCGGUGGCCUUCUAAGGACCCAAGUGGCGGCGGGCUCCCAUGUUCUACUUUUCCUCGAUUUUGUCGGCAAACGCGGACAUGCUAGCCGCCGCCUCGUCGAUCUCCACUAUAUAUGAGAUGCCUAGUAUAUAAGUGUCCUACUAGGACACGACUUCAUAUUCUAUCUAAACACAAUACUACUCAGAGUCCAACUGUAACCUAUCUUAUACACAAUAUUCCAUACAACUCUAACAACUCCGGCUGGGUCAAGGAAACCUCAUGCACGGCCGGCUGGAAGACGCGCUUCCACCAUGGAGAAUGGUUUGGUGGCGUUCAGAGUCAGUCUCGUUUGUUUUGUUCUGUUUUCAGGAGUAUGUAUGCACAUUCGAUGCAUUUGUCAUUGACGGAUGGAUGCGGUCGGGUCAAAGGUCGUGGUCGUCGCCGCGUCAGUCUUCACUUCUCCUCCAUCUCCUCUUCCUUAUACACCUACAUUAGAACUUGCGUUAGGUUAAGUUUAGGAAGCAUACAGAAUUUCUUUUAGUUAUAAUCAAAUAGAUUAAGAUAUCUUGCAAUCACACCAUGUCAUAGGCACAUGUGAUUUUCAUGCAAAUUAUUUCUUUGACCUGCUAUCACCAGCAACUGCCAGCCUGAACCAUUUUAUAUCAAUCCAAACCAAAACGAGCUACCUGUACAAGAUGGAGAUAAUUGCAACAAAUUCGGACCGUGUACGUCUAGUGCAUCUGUUGAUAGCAUUUAACCUGCCAUGAUUCUUUGAGGAUGCAUGUUGGCCUAUGCAUCCUUUGAUUGGAUGGACUUCUCUAAAUAUUCACUACACAAGUCAGUCAUUCUCAGAAGUGGACGGUCCAGCGAAUUUGGAAGGGUUAAGAGCAUGGUUAAUAGUAUAGCCAGCUGCUAUGUCAUCUACAGCUCAUUUUAUAGUCAAUAUGUACAAUAUUAGAUCAAAAGAGUGUACUACUUUUUUAUUAUGUGGUCCACCUUUCAUUCUCACAAAGUGCCUAGGAGCACGUGCUAGAGCUGCCUCUUCAUGAAGAGCCCGCUUACCUUCUUUCUCCUCUUCUCUUUACUCCAACUAAGCAGAAAUAUACUAGUUUAUUCCUUAUAGCCCGCUGACUCAGCUCUAUUGUACUUGCUCUAAGGAAAGAAAAUUAUCUAUUGGCUAUGGCUGAGACUAAUUCUGACUGCUGUUGUUGAUGUGUCUGCUAAUUUGGCAUAAUUCCUCGCUUGUCCAAUUGCAGCAUCUCGCUCUAGUAGUAGUCCAAGUCUCUCAGCCUCAAAUACGAUGCAUAUGAUUAUUUUAAUAGAAAAACCUGUUGGCGUGUUGCGUCAAAUGGCACAGACCGGCCAAGCUGGGCCGGCCCAUUAAGAUGUACAGUUGUUCUCCGUCUUGGGGAACCUUUCGGAAGGUUCCAGUCUGGUUUUCACCGUUUUUUGUUUUUCUUUCCUGGUUUUCAUUUUCUUUUUUUCUUAAAUAUUGGUCUUUUUGGUAAAAAAUAUCUGUUAUAAAAUAUCAAAUUGUUCAUGUUUUACAAGUUUAUUGGAAUUUCUAAAAAUGUUUUCACUUCCAAAAAUUCUUCACAAACUAAAAGAUGGUCAUGUUAUUAUAAAAAAUGUUUGUAAUUUUUUAAAAUGUUCCUGUAUUUAAAAAGUGUUCACAAAUUCAAAAAAUAAUCAGGAACUUCAAAAAAUAUGUUUAUUGUUCAUUUUUUAAAGGCACAUCUUCCAAAAAAAUAGAUUCUUCAUAAUAAGGUUUGUGUUUUAAAAAAAACAAAUCCACCAAAAAUAUGUUUACUAUGGGCAUUUGGGGCAUGUUUUGGGGUGUUGUAACGGGGCUUCCACCCUGCUAGUGCAUGUUCUAUGCUGGUUUCAGUCUAACCCGCCAAAAGUGUUUCCUAUUGUACUGCUUGCUUUCUUUCUAAUAAAGAUCGGCCAAGGGCCCUUCGAGAAAAGAUCUUCCCCUUUAAUGGCGGAUUUGGUUUUUUAAUGGGAGGAAGAACAACAUACCAGGCUACCAACUCUCCCAUUAAGAGUAGAGAUUCCCGAGAAGCCGCUGGCGCUAGAUAUAUGACCGCAGCCAGGCGAGAAAGACGCGGGAUUCUAGAUGGGGAUAAGGAACAAUAUUGGUGGAGAUGAAGAAGGGUUGGACGAAACCAAAAUUAACAUAUCCUUGUCAAAACAAGAAACCAAAAUUAACAUAUGAUGAUGAAGGAAAGUACAGGGGAUGUGUGGGUAAGGGAAGGAAAGCAAAUAAUUGAUUGAAUCGGCACCAGGUUUUGUUGGGACACACGUGAUUUCUUGUUAUGAUGUUCGCACUUGGGAGAAGCAGAACAUAGCGAGCUAGAAUGGUCAUGCCAGCUGCUGCUUAGACAGGCAUCUCCGGCGUGCUGGGAAUCAAUGUCCCGACAUGCUCGAAACAGGAGGGCGCUGCACCGUGUUGGAACUGGACAACCACCAUGUUGUAACUGUGGUUGAACACUAGUGGUGGGGACAGAUGCGAGGGACCUGUCCUGUGAGGGCGGCAACACCACGGCGAGCGGUAGCUAGCCGGUAGUGCUUCCAGAAUCGGUCGGCGCAUGUCCAUCGCAAGUAUAGUGGCGCUAGCUAUCGACUCUUUUCGAUCAAAUGGGAAGGAGCGAGCACUGUGUGAGGAAGGAGACGAAGAGAAGAAGAAUCGAAACGUGCCAGUGGGGCCAAUCCGGCUGGCACCAAGCGACCAACCAAAUUUUGGGCAAGUCGACCGGCGCCUAGCGCCGCCCUUGGAAAUGUCAUUGUAUCGAUGCUAACGUAUUUUUCAAUGUACUGGAUGCACUCAUGGAACAUGUAUGUCAAUCCUUCCUUUUAUUCAAUCACCCAACAACAACCUGAUGCACGACUCAACAGCACAUGUAAGAAGAAAGUAUACUUGGCCGCAACGUGAACAAGCACACUUAUGGUUUACAUAUUGAGGUUACGAAUUAACCUGCCACAACAUAAACUAACGUACAAGACAGAAACACAAUUAACUUCAUCAUUGCCCGACAACAUGGAUCAGAAUGAAAAAAAAUAAAAUAUAGUAAAAAGAACAUGGAUCAGAACGCGGCUGCUCUCACCACUUUUGAGGCUAUUUCUUAGUAUUUCUUAGGCUGCGGCUGCUUCUUCUUAGCUAUCCUCUGUUUUUGCGAGUCAGCUUCAGAUCUUUCCUACGAUUACGCGACUUUUUAGGUUUCUUUGGUUGUGCCUUUGGCUUAUUGGGUGGCGGCGGCGUUCGCCUGUUAUGGGGAACCGUUGUACCUGGAACCUUUGUACCUGUCUUCUCCAUGACGCCUCCUCCUCCUACUCCUCCUCUCCCUCCUCCUCCUCCUCUCCUUCUUCUUCUUCUUCUUCUUCUUCUUCUUCUUCUUCAUCUUCUUGUGCGAGGUAGAUGAGGUGAGGUGGAUGUGGUGUUUGUUUUGCACCGGUUGGUUUGUGGU